Sinocyclocheilus anshuiensis is the source of this 86-nucleotide long non-coding RNA. RefSeq lists it as uncharacterized. The record is from RefSeq and is a predicted model, not a curated record. The transcript has 2 exons. Lineage: Eukaryota; Metazoa; Chordata; Actinopteri; Cypriniformes; Cyprinidae.
GUUGGAAAAGAUGUUUAGCUCCCACUUUAAGUAAACCUUAGUUCCCAGGUUAUCUACAACAUGGAUUAAAAUGCUGAUAAAUUCAA